AGAGUUUGAUCCUGGCUCAGAACGAACGCUGGCGGCGCGUUUUAAGCAUGCAAGUCGGGCGGCAAGGGCCUUCGGGCCCCUAGAGCGGCGGACGGGUGAGUAACACGUGGACAAUCUGCCCCCCGGUCCGGGAUAGCCCAGGGAAACCUGGAUUAAUACCGGAUGAGACGGGACCCGCGAGGGCGGGAUCCGGGAAAGGCGCUACGGCGCCGCCGGGGGAUGAGUCUGCGUCCCAUUAGCUAGACGGCGGGGUAACGGCCCACCGUGGCGUCGAUGGGUAGCCGGCCUGAGAGGGUGAACGGCCACAUUGGAACUGAGACACGGUCCAGACUCCUACGGGAGGCAGCAGCUAAGAAUCUUCCGCAAUGGGCGAAAGCCUGACGGAGCGACGCCGCGUGAACGAAGAAGGCCGUGAGGUUGUAAAGUUCUUUUCGGGAGGGGGAACAACCGUGGCAGGGAAUGGCCGCGGGAUGACGUGAAUCCCGGAAUAAGCCCCGGCUAACUACGUGCCAGCAGCCGCGGUAACACGUAGGGGGCGAGCGUUGUUCGGAAUCAUUGGGCGUAAAGGGCGUGCAGGCGGUCCUGCAAGUCCGGCGUGAAAUACCCCGGCCCAACCGGGGGGACGCGCUGGAAACUGCAGGGCUUGAGUACAGGAGGGGAUGCCGGAAUUCCAGGUGUAGGGGUGAAAUCUGUAGAUAUCUGGAAGAACACCAAUGGCGAAGGCAGGCAUCUGGCCAUGUACUGACG
This 747-nucleotide ribosomal RNA is filed under the name uncultured bacterium. RNAcentral's name for it is "bacterial SSU rRNA". It matches the Rfam family "Bacterial small subunit ribosomal RNA", at positions 8 to 745 of the family's 1533-position model. The record is from RNAcentral.